UUGGGGGAAUGCAUGGUUGCCACAUACUUGUAUGAGUAUGAGGGCAGCAAUAGCUUAUUGGGUUUUACUUUCUAGGCUAUAUUAUUUUUACCCUUACACUAUGCCCGUCUAGUGGGUUUAUCCACAUUAAAAAUUGUGUAUUGAAUAGUAAUUAUAAUGCCGGCUCCGUUCUGGUUAAAAUUCUGGAUAGGGGACUGAUUAUGACAAUUUUCUAUCUAUAUGUCUUGACCAAAUUACGUGCCAGCCGUCGCGGUAAUACGUAAAAGACUAGUGUUAUUCGUCUUGAAUAGGUUUAAAGGGUACCUAGACGGCAUUAAUAACCUUGAACAAGGAGAUGUUUUAUGCUAGAGUUUUAUAUGAGAAGGGGAGAAUUUAUAGAGUAGAGAUAAAAUGCUGUCAUACUAUAAGGACUGGCAAUGGCGAAAGCGACCUUUUAUCUAAAAACUGACGUUGAGGGACGGAGGCUUGGGGAGCGAAAAGGAUUAGAUACCCUAGUAGUCCAUGCAGAGAAUGAUGAAUGCCAUAGACUAGAUAUUCUUUUGGUUUAUAAAUGAAAGUGUAAGCAUUCCACCUCAUGAGUAAUGUGGCAACGCAGGAACUGAAAUCAUUAGACCGUUUCUGAGAACAGUAGUGAAGUAUGUUAUUUAAUUCGAUGACCCACGAAAAACCUUACCACAACUUGAAUGUAUCAAUCGCUGGCAGAAAAAAGUAAUAAUCUACGUUAUGUAGGUUACAAAAACAAUAAUCUAUGUUAUAUAGGUUAAAUGAGGAAGUAAGGCGCAAAAGUUGUUAAAGUAGAUGUAGAAAACAUGUAAAUGUAGAAAACAUGUGCUUUAACAUGUAAAUUGUCGGGGAAAAAAUCUGGACAGUUUGCGACUUGGUAUACAAGCGUUGCACGGUUGUCUUUAGUUAAUGUCGUGAGAUUUUGGUUAGCUCCAUAAAAUUAGCGUAAACCCCGACUUUAUUUUAAAAAGAACGUUAUAAUAAAAAGUAAUAAAAGAGAAAAAUUCUAAUAAAAAAUUUAUAAUUAUAAUUAUAUCGAUAAAGUAGUUCAUCACUAUAUUGAAAAUAUGAUAA
RNAcentral lists this ribosomal RNA (1077 nucleotides) under Coccomyces globosus. Its description in RNAcentral is "mitochondrial SSU rRNA". It matches the Rfam family "Bacterial small subunit ribosomal RNA", at positions 1 to 1171 of the family's 1533-position model. Lineage: Eukaryota; Fungi; Ascomycota; Leotiomycetes; Rhytismatales; Rhytismataceae. The record is from RNAcentral.